Molecule: ribosomal RNA, 253 nt
Filed under: uncultured bacterium
Lineage: Bacteria
Description: partial 16S ribosomal RNA
Rfam family: Bacterial small subunit ribosomal RNA
Source: RNAcentral
UACGUAGGGUGCAAGCGUUGUCCGGAAUUAUUGGGCGUAAAGAGCUCGUAGGCGGUCUGUCACGUCGGCUGUGAAAACCCGAGGCUCAACCUCGGGCCUGCAGUCGAUACGGGCAAACUAGAGUACUGCAGGGGAGACUGGAAUUCCUGGUGUAGCGGUGAAAUGCGUAGAUAUCGGGAGGAACACCAGUGGCGAAGGCGAUCACCUGGGGAUGUUCUGACGCUGAGGAGCGAAAGCUAGGGGAGCAAACGGG